This 510-nucleotide ribosomal RNA is filed under the name uncultured bacterium. Its description in RNAcentral is "bacterial SSU rRNA". It matches the Rfam family "Bacterial small subunit ribosomal RNA", at positions 355 to 883 of the family's 1533-position model. The record is from RNAcentral.
UGGGGAAUCUUGGACAAUGGGGGCAACCCUGAUCCAGCCAUGCCGCGUGAGUGAUGAAGGCCUUAGGGUCGUAAAGCUCUUUCGCCUGUGAAGAUAAUGACGGUAGCAGGUAAAGAAACCCCGGCUAACUCCGUGCCAGCAGCCGCGGUAAUACGGAGGGGGCUAGCGUUGUUCGGAAUUACUGGGCGUAAAGCGCGCGUAGGCGGACUGAUCAGUCAGGGGUGAAAUCCCGGGGGCUCAACCCCGGAACUGCCUCCAAAACUAUCGGUCUAGAGUUCGAGAGAGGUGAGUGGAAUUCCGAGUGUAGAGGUGAAAUUCGUAGAUAUUCGGAGGAACACCAGUGGCGAAGGCGGCUCACUGGCUCGAUACUGACGCUGAGGUGCGAAAGUGUGGGGAGCAAACAGGAUUAGAUACCCUGGUAGUCCACACCGUAAACGAUGAAUGCCAGUCGUCGGGUAGCAUGCUAUUCGGUGACACACCUAACGGAUUAAGCAUUCCGCCUGGGAGUAC